CAGUCGACGGUACAGGGAGCUUGCUCCGCUGACGAGUGGCGAACGGGUGAGUAAUAUAUCGGAACGUACCCAAGAGUGGGGGAUAACGUAGCGAAAGUUACGCUAAUACCGCAUACGAUCUAAGGAUGAAAGCAGGGGAUCUUCGGACCUUGUGCUCCUGGAGCGGCCGAUAUCUGAUUAGCUAGUUGGUGAGGUAAAGGCUCACCAAGGCGACGAUCAGUAGCUGGUCUGAGAGGACGACCAGCCACACUGGAACUGAGACACGGUCCAGACUCCUACGGGAGGCAGCAGUGGGGAAUUUUGGACAAUGGGCGCAAGCCUGAUCCAGCAAUGCCGCGUGAGUGAAGAAGGCCUUCGGGUUGUAAAGCUCUUUUGUCAGGGAAGAAACGGGAGUGGCUAAUAUCCAUUCCUAAUGACGGUACCUGAAGAAUAAGCACCGGCUAACUACGUGCCAGCAGCCGCGGUAAUACGUAGGGUGCAAGCGUUAAUCGGAAUUACUGGGCGUAAAGCGUGCGCAGGCGGUUUUGUAAGUCUGUCGUGAAAUCCCCGGGCUCAACCUGGGAAUUGCGAUGGAGACUGCAAGGCUAGAAUCUGGCAGAGGGGGGUAGAAUUCCACGUGUAGCAGUGAAAUGCGUAGAGAUGUGGAGGAACACCGAUGGCGAAGGCAGCCCCCUGGGUCAAGAUUGACGCUCAUGCACGAAAGCGUGGGGAGCAAACAGGAUUAGAUACCCUGGUAGUCCACGCCCUAAACGAUGUCUACUAGUUGUCGGGUUUUAAUUAACUUGGUAACGCAGCUAACGCGUGAAGUAGACCGCCUGGGGAGUACGGUCGCAAGAUUAAAACUCAAAGGAAUUGACGGGGACCCGCACAAGCGGUGGAUGAUGUGGAUUAAUUCGAUGCAACGCGAAAAACCUUACCUACCCUUGACAUGUACGGAAGCCACGAAAGAUCGAGGUGUGCUCGAAAGAGAGCCGUAACACAGGUGCUGCAUGGCUGUCGUCAGCUCGUGUCCUGGAGAUGUUGGGGUUAAGUCCCCGCAAC
RNAcentral lists this ribosomal RNA (1041 nucleotides) under Massilia timonae. Its description in RNAcentral is "bacterial SSU rRNA". It matches the Rfam family "Bacterial small subunit ribosomal RNA", at positions 59 to 1093 of the family's 1533-position model. The record is from RNAcentral. Lineage: Bacteria; Pseudomonadati; Pseudomonadota; Betaproteobacteria; Burkholderiales; Oxalobacteraceae.